This is a long non-coding RNA of Myotis brandtii (Brandt's bat), 462 nucleotides long. RefSeq lists it as uncharacterized. Lineage: Eukaryota; Metazoa; Chordata; Mammalia; Chiroptera; Vespertilionidae. The transcript has 3 exons. The record is from RefSeq and is a predicted model, not a curated record.
UAUAGUUCAAUGCGAGCUGAGCAGACAGGGCUGUAAGGAAAUCUGGCGCGGUUCAAUACCUCGUCUAGCCUGGGUUCCAGUAUCUAAUUUUUUUUUACUGACAAACUCAUUUCUCUACUGGGACAGGAUGCUGUGCUGGCUGGAAGUUCCAUUUCUACAGCGAGAAUCCUAUCUGGAAACACAGAAGUUGUCCUCUAGCGACAGCAGCUCGAACUUUUUUGAUUGUUGUUGCUGCUUUUCUCCCAUCACCCCCAUCCCCUUUUGACAAAGAUCCAACUGUAAAAAGUCUUACGUAACAGUUCAGGACUACUUCGGUUCUUUUACUGGUAUAUCAAGAGGCUUCAAGAGGAGUAUGAAAACAUCUACAUCUCCAAGUUGGAGCAAUGUGGGUUUCAAUAUUUUGUAGCACAUCUGCAAAAGAAAAGAAAGGAGAUUCAUGUCUACAAACAUUGGACACCAAAA